This is a long non-coding RNA of Nicotiana attenuata, 438 nucleotides long. RefSeq lists it as uncharacterized. The record is from RefSeq and is a predicted model, not a curated record. NCBI's taxonomy places the organism in Eukaryota, Viridiplantae, Streptophyta, Magnoliopsida, Solanales, Solanaceae. The transcript is spliced from 2 exons.
UUAUACUAUCCACACAAAAGUACCCCCGUCGUUACCCAAAUGGUUCAGAUAUACGUCUCCUCUGUUAGGAUUGUUCAAGAUGGACACCCAAUUUUGCGUGGCACUGAUAUUUUGGUGCGACAUCUUUCAACAUAGAUUUUGCUGCGAAGAAGGUAACGGUUAUCGGGGAUGUGACACCAUUAGGGGUUCUUGCAAGCAUUUCAAAGGUGAAGAAUGCACAGCUUAUGACACCAACACUGGCUUCUUCAGUCCCUUCUUCAGCCAAAGUUAAUUUGAGUUAUUCUUAGUUCAUGAAAGAUGUCAAGCAGCAGUUGGUACUGUCUCAUGACAAAAUAGAUAAUAAUGUUCCUCCAACUCCAACAACUAUUCACCUUAUGUAAAUUUUUGAAGUUUAUGUGCUUUAGAAAAAGGAAAUUAUAGCCUGGGAUCUUUUUUUAA